UCGGGAAUUUUGGGCAAUGGGCGAAAGCCUGACCCAGCAACGCCGCGUGAAGGAUGAAGUAUUUCGGUAUGUAAACUUCGAAAGAAUAGGAAGAAUAAAUGACGGUACUAUUUAUAAGCUCCGGCUAACUACGUGCCAGCAGCCGCGGUAAUACGUAGGGUGCAAGCGUUUUUCGGAUUUACUGGGCGUAAAGGGCGCGUAGGCGGCGCGGUAAGUCACUUGUGGAAUCUCGGAGCUUAACUCAGAACGGCCAAGUGAUACUGCAGUGCUAGAGUGCAGAAAGGGCAAUCGGAAUUCUUGGUGUAGCGGUGAAAUGCGUAGAUAGCAAGAGGAACACCUGAGGCGAAGGCGGGUUGCUAGGCUGACACUGACGCGGAGGCGCGAAAGCCAGGGGAGCAAACG
This 402-nucleotide ribosomal RNA is filed under the name uncultured bacterium. RNAcentral's name for it is "bacterial SSU rRNA". It matches the Rfam family "Bacterial small subunit ribosomal RNA", at positions 355 to 774 of the family's 1533-position model. The record is from RNAcentral.